This 406-nucleotide ribosomal RNA is filed under the name uncultured bacterium. RNAcentral describes it as "partial 16S ribosomal RNA". It matches the Rfam family "Bacterial small subunit ribosomal RNA", at positions 30 to 526 of the family's 1533-position model. The record is from RNAcentral.
AUUGAACGCUGGCGGCAGGCCUAACACAUGCAAGUCGAACGAGUGGCGGACGGGUGAGUAAUGUCUGGGAAACUGCCUGAUGGAGGGGGAUAACUACUGGAAACGGUAGCUAAUACCGCAUACCAUCGGAUGUGCCCAGAUGGGAUUAGCUAGUAGGUGGGGUAAAGGCUCACCUAGGCGACGAUCCCUAGCUGGUCUGAGGGGAUGACCAGCAACACUGGAACUGGGACACGGUCCAUACUCCUAGGUGGGGCGGCAGUUGAGAAUAUUGCACAAUGGGAGAAAGCCUGAUGCAGCCGUGCCGCAUGUAUUAAGAAGGCCUUCGGGUUGUAAAGUACUUGCAGCGGGGAGGCGUUACCCGCAGAAGAAGCACCGGCUAACUCCGUGCCAGCAGCCGCGGUAAUUC